UUAGAUUCAAAAGAGAAACACCAUCCAUUUUCAGAUUGAUUGUUUUGUUAGAUUAAUAUUAUCACUAAUUUGGUUGUUAGCAAGGUUUUCAAACCGGGCCGGCCGGUCAGACCGGUCCGGCCGGGAUCCGGAAAGUAAAGCGGGCCGGUCCAGUAAGUUUGGCCGUUUCAACAUCGACCUGGGGUCGGGCCGGGAUCUGGACGGUCGGGCUGGCGGUUCUUGAAGAGAUGGUCGGGCCAGAUAUUUUUUUUAAUUAGCCCAAACUAAAAAUCUCAUACCAAAAUCAUAAAACUGUAACCUCCAUCUUUUUCCUCAGACGACGCACGCACUUUUCUUCUCAUCUCUGUACAACAACAUCUUCAAUUCAUCAUCUUCAUCAUGGAUUAGCCACCAUUCAUCUUGAUUCAAGUCUGGUCAUCUAUUCAAUUCACAGGGAGGAUAUGAGAGAUAGAGAUGGAGGAAGAUAAAGGUAGGGUGUACUAGAGUAGGUUGCAAAUAAGCAUGGCAACACCUUUAACGGAAACAGAAAGGGACCACACCUUUAACAACUGAAAGCGACUUUACAAGCACGUAUCAAACCCUCCUUUAUAAAUUCAAGGCUGGUAGCUUCAAAUCACCCCGUCUCUCUCUCUCUCUCUCUCUCUCUCUCUCUCUCUCUCUUAUCUGUCCGGUGAGAUCUGUGGAUCUCCGGUGACCCUGCAUUACCUACCGACCACUUGAACCGUCGUUGCAGGCUUUCUCGCAAUCCUUAACACUCCGGUUGUCACUCCCUUUCGUGCACCAGAGUCAAACAUAACAUCACCGCCGACCACCAGCAUCGUCACAACCGAGAACCCAAAUAAGGUUUGCAAAAUCGAUUACAAGUUACAAAUAAUGUCGAUAUUCGUAUGUUUGGAUCUGCCUACGAAUCCCAACCAUGAAGGUGAUUGUGGAAACAAGUUCACACUUGCAGGUGAUUGAGCAUCCACAACAGGAUCAGUUUCAGAUGCAGGUGAUUGUGGAAAUAGAGGUUCUUCAUCUUGAACAAUCAUGUGUCCAAAUAAAGGAGCAUCGAGUCCAGUACCACGAAAUCUCAUCAUAUUUGCAAAAACCUUGGGCUUCAAAUGAGAUAAAUCUAAAGAACUUCCUUCAUGAACCAAGUUGGGAAAAUUCUGAUUGAAAAUGUGUUGCAGAAAUCGUGGAGACAAUAAAAACUUUGAUUCUGAUUGAAUAUGAUUGGAUAGUUCAUACACUACUAGAAAAUUGAAAAAAAUGGUAGUAAAUUUAGCCACCGAUUUGCCACGGAAAAGAAAAUUAGUGUAUUUAUCAUGAUAUGGUAGCAAAGCGGUUGCAAUUUUUGCCACCUUUUUAUUUUCGGUGGCAAUUUUUGGGAAAAAUACGCUAAAGCAUGAAAAAUAAAAAGAUCUGCACGCUUCAAAAGUCUAUUAAUUAGGGUUCCAGCCAAAUAACUCUCCUCCAAAAUUUUAAUCCCUGCUUCUCACCCGCUCCCCUGCGUCAAGCCAUUCAAAGAACCCUGCUUCCAUACAUUUGCUCUGAUCGAUUUGGCGGUCUUCCAUGGUAGAUUCGUAAACAUCUCCAUAUAUUCAAGUGCAGAGCUGCGCUAUGUUGUGCGAUAUGUACUAUGGCUUAUGAGACAAAUGAGGAAGGGGAUAAUCUCAAGGCAUCAGCAUAUUCCUCACUUAUUGCAGUAGCAGGCAAUGUAAAUAAAGUCUGACAACCGACAUAAAUAAAGUCUGACAACGAACCUUAUACUGGAGUAUUAUGAAUCUUUACUCCAGAAACUUGAAUAACAAAAUGAGAUGGAUAUUUCAUAUGCUGUGAACAAAUCUCCAAAGAAAAAUAAAAAAUUGAAAAAGAUGCAAGCCAAGCUGGAUAAAAGUCUCAAAGAAAAGGAGUUGGUGGAUGAUUUUAAUGAAAGUCUUUUGAGAAACAAGGAGAUAUGACAAAAGAUCAUUGUGAAAACUGAAGACAGGUAAACUUGGUUAUCAAGGAGCUCGUUGAGGAAAAGGACGAAGAAGAAGAAAAGUUGAAUAGAAUUAUUGCGGGGCCGUCGACUGAAAAAGAAAAAAGAUAAGGUGGAUAAAGAUACUAUGCUCGAUAGGAUAUCACAAGUUGAAGCUACGUUAACAGCUAUUGUUCUAAGAUAUGUUAUAAACACUUAGUUUUGAAUGUUUCGAUGUUUAUCAUAUUAGGAUAAUUCCAGUUAUUUAACAUUUUAGUUGGC
Molecule: long non-coding RNA, 2224 nt
Filed under: Helianthus annuus (common sunflower)
Lineage: Eukaryota; Viridiplantae; Streptophyta; Magnoliopsida; Asterales; Asteraceae
Source: RNAcentral